This is a long non-coding RNA of Canis lupus familiaris (dog), 512 nucleotides long. RefSeq lists it as uncharacterized. The transcript is spliced from 3 exons. Lineage: Eukaryota; Metazoa; Chordata; Mammalia; Carnivora; Canidae. The record is from RefSeq and is a predicted model, not a curated record.
UUCUCCUACUUCAAUAAGCAUGACAAUUGGUUCCAGGAAUGGAAUGACUUCCACAUCAUCAAUGCCAAGGUGACAUCCCAGAAAAAAGAUCAAGAUAAGCAGCAACAAAUGUAGAUGGAGGCCACUAGGUGUCUGAACCUUGAUUAGUACCACUGAGCAAGACAAGACAGGGCAGGAGAACAUGUAAACUGAGACAGGAUUUGUAAACCAAGAAACUCCAAAGGGCUGGAAAUUGGGGCAAAAUAUUGGACAACAAACGUUACCAGGUACACAGAAGGAAAAGAUGAGGUUUUGUUGCAGAAGCCAUGGAGCUUGACUCAUAUUCUUGCCAUGACAAAGGACAGCUUCCCUUCAACAUGGAGGAGGACUAAAGAACACCUGCAAGCAGGGUUGAAAUUAAUCUCAAAAAGAAGCUGUUCAAACCAAUAUAAGUGAAGCCUAAAAAUAAUUCUUUACUAAAUUCCUGUUUCUUUUGACUACUAGAAAAUAAAACAAACAACUUUAAAGAGAAA